This 253-nucleotide ribosomal RNA is filed under the name uncultured bacterium. RNAcentral describes it as "partial 16S ribosomal RNA". It matches the Rfam family "Bacterial small subunit ribosomal RNA", at positions 524 to 776 of the family's 1533-position model. The record is from RNAcentral.
UACGUAGGGUGCGAGCGUUGUCCGGAAUUACUGGGCGUAAAGAGCUCGUAGGUGGUUUGUCGCGUUGUUCGUGAAAACUCACAACUCAAUUGUGGGCGUGCGGGCGAUACGGGCAGACUGGAGUACUGCAGGGGAGACUGGAAUUCCUGGUGUAGCGGUGGAAUGCGCAGAUAUCAGGAGGAACACCGGUGGCGAAGGCGGCAUCCUGGACCGGUAUUGACGCUGAGGCGCGAAAGCUAGGGUAGCAAACGGG